AGUGAACGCUGGCGGUAGGCCUAACACAUGCAAGUCGAACGGCAGCACAGUAAGAGCUUGCUCUUACGGGUGGCGAGUGGCGGACGGGUGAGGAAUACAUCGGAAUCUACUUUUUCUUGGGGGAUAACGUAGGGAAACUUACGCUAAUACCGCAUACGACCUACGGGUGAAAGCAGGGGUUCUUCGGACCUUGCGCGAUUGAAUUAGCCGAUGUCGGAUUAGCUAGUUGGCGGGGUAAAGGCCCACCAAGGCGACGAUCCGUAGCUGGUCUGAGAGGAUGAUCAGCCACACUGGAACUGAGACACGGUCCAGACUCCUACGGGAGGCAGCAGUGGGGAAUAUUGGACAAUGGGCGCAAGCCUGAUCCAGCCAUACCGCGUGGGUGAAGAAGGCCUUCGGGUUGUAAAGCCCUUUUGUUGGGAAAGAAAAGCAGCAGGUUAAUACCCCGCUGUUCUGACGGUACCCAAAGAAUAAGCACCGGCUAACUUCGUG
RNAcentral lists this ribosomal RNA (492 nucleotides) under uncultured bacterium. RNAcentral's name for it is "partial 16S ribosomal RNA". It matches the Rfam family "Bacterial small subunit ribosomal RNA", at positions 29 to 507 of the family's 1533-position model. The record is from RNAcentral.